GACGAACGCUGGCGGCGUGCCUAAUACAUGCAAGUUGAGCGAUGAAGAUUGGUGCUUGCACCAAUUUGAAGAGCAGCGAACGGGUGAGUAACGCGUGGGGAAUCUGCCUUUGAGCGGGGGACAACAUUUGGAAACGAAUGCUAAUACCGCAUAACAACUUUAAACAUAAGUUUUAAGUUUGAAAGAUGCAAUUGCAUCACUCAAAGAUGAUCCCGCGUUGUAUUAGCUAGUUGGUGAGGUAAAGGCUCACCAAGGCGAUGAUACAUAGCCGACCUGAGAGGGUGGUCGGCCACAAUGGGACUGAGACACGGCCCAAACUCCUACGGGAGGCAGCAGUAGGGAAUCUUCGGCAAUGGACGAAAGUCUGACCGAGCAACGCCGCGUGAGUGAAGAAGGUUUUCGGAUCGUAAAACUCUGUUGGUAGAGAAGAACGUUGGUGGGAGUGGAAAGCUCAUCAAGUGACGGUAACUACCCAGAAAGGGACGGCUAACUACGUG
Molecule: ribosomal RNA, 497 nt
Filed under: uncultured bacterium
Lineage: Bacteria
Description: partial 16S ribosomal RNA
Rfam family: Bacterial small subunit ribosomal RNA
Source: RNAcentral